Molecule: long non-coding RNA, 449 nt
Filed under: Drosophila guanche
Lineage: Eukaryota; Metazoa; Arthropoda; Insecta; Diptera; Drosophilidae
Source: RNAcentral
UUCAGUUGUUGCAUCAAGAAGAAACGGCUAGCCAGUCACCCCAGGGCUGAGUACUUCCCAAGCACUCAGGUCGCACAACAUAACAGCUGUUUGGUACUCUCCAAUCUAACCGAAAACCAUCUCUCCGACACCUAUAUAUAUACAUAGAGACGGCUAAGAAUUUAAAUAUACAUUUAGUUUUUAUUUAUUUAUUUCUUAUUUAUUUCCUAUGGGUUUUACAAUAUUGAAUCUGGGAUUCUUUCCCUUUGGAAUGGUCUCACUUUUUCUUCGAAUAAGGGUCUCCUGGCUCCCACUGGUAGCUACGUCUUUUUCCCCGAUCUGGUACAGGUUUUCUCGAAUCCUUAUGUCCAUGUAAAUGUCCUGACCAGGUUGUUCAGGUUAUAUUGAAUAUUAGAGAAAACAAAAUGUUACUGAAAAUUUUGAACUCAUAAAAGAGUUGUUUGCCGAAC